CUGGCUCCCCUACAUGAGUACCAGCCCCUGACAACAGGCCUUUCCCAACUGACCCCCUGCCCUCCAGAGCCCCCUGAGACCCGGGCCCUCCCUCGGAACUUGAGGGCGCAGGGGACCAGGACGGCCGUCUCAACGGUCCCAGUUCUUUUUCCCCACUAUGGAACACAAGACCCUCUGACCUCCUCCUUCGAGCGAAACUGCACACAGAGCAGGGAAGCCCUGCCGCGCUGGGUUCGGAGGAAAGAGGAGGCCGUGGACGGGGAAGAGGUCGGGUUUCGCUCCCUCAGCGCCGCCGCCUGGGCGACUCUUCCACCCCCGGCUCGGGUUCGAAGCGGCGCGGCCCAGAGAAGAGGAAGAAAGACGAAAAGGAACUUUGCCCGUGGUUUCACCCAUGCUGUCAUUUGCAAUCACCUGUGAAACCUAUGAAAACUAUACCUGCCCAGGCUCAGCCUUGGAGAUUCUGAUUCAGUGUGCUCAGGCGGGGCUGGACAUCCAUGUUUGGGAAGAGUUGCGCGGGUGAUUUCGAUGCGUAUAUGACCCUGGUUGAAAACUGCUAACCUGGCAAAUGCCCGCCAGUCUCACAAAGUCCAGCCAAAAUGUUACGGCCUCUGAGAAGCCUUCUGUGAGUGAUGAGCAAUCCCCAUGGCAAUAUUUAUUGAGCACUGACAAAGUGCCAGGACCUGUGUCAGGCACAGGAGUACAUGUUCUUUGCCCAGACUGAGAAAACAGGCAAUAUGUAUGAAAAAUGCUAAUGAUAGAAUAAAAGUGGGGUACUAUGGGAGCCCAUGGGGAGAUACCUUACCCUGUCAGGGAUGUGAUGGGGAAGUCAGGGAAGGCUUCCUGGAGGAGGGGCCAUCUUAGCUGCAUACUGAAGGAUAAAGAGGUGUUAACCAGCCUUGGGUGGGUGGAGAAGAGAGUUCCAGGUAAGUACUCGGGCAUGACAGAUUAGAGGGGAUGAAGUUCAUGCAGGCUUAAGCAUGAGGUCCAAAGAAGUGGGAGAUGCUACAUGAGGCUAGAUAGGUGGCAAGACAAUAUGGCAAAUGUGGGUGAGUUACCUGACUCCUGUAUGUGCACCCAGCCCUUUGCCCACACUGGAAGUGUGUGACAUAUCUCACUUUAGUUGACUCUUUUGAGACUGGGAGCUCAUAGAAAGAAGUCAUGUGUGGAAACUCGGCAGUCAGGGUCAUGCUGCCUUGGGUUUAAAUCCUAAAUCUGCCACCUACCAGCUCUGUGAAGCUGGGAAAUUUCUAAACCCAGAUGGGACAGAUGGGUCAACCUUUCCCAUCUGUCCCAAUGGGAAUGAAAACUCAUACCAAUGUUUGCUAAUCCAAUUAUUUUCUGCUGCAUAUCAAAGCAACCCAAAGGUUUGUGGCUUAAAAUAAUCUAUUGUUAUCUCUCAUGGCUCUGUGAUUUGACUGGGCUCAGCUGGUUGGUUCUCAUUUGGAGUCUCAUGCUGUUGUAGUCAGAAUGCAGCUGGGGAUACAGUCAUCUGAAGGCUCAGCUGGGUUGGACAUCCAAGAUGGCUCUCACAUGGCUGACAGCUGAUGCUGGCAGUUGGCUGGGAGCUCAGUGAGGGCUGUCACUGGAAUGCCCACAUACAGCCUCUCCACACGGCUUGGGCUUCUCAGAACAUGAUAGCUGGGUUCUGAGAGGAAGCAUUGCAGAAUAGGUAUUCCAGGAAGCAAGAAGAAGCUGCCAAGACAGAUAAGGACUACGCCUGGAACUGAACAUCUUUACUCCCUCUGUAUGCUACUAGUCAGGGCCUGCCCACAUUGAAGGGGAUGCUGAAAUAAACUCCACCACUGGAUUAGGAAGGUGCAUGAUGAUAUUGUUGUGAUCAUCUUUGGAAAAUACAAUCUGUAAAGCCUUCUGUGAGGAUUCAAUAAAUUAAGGCAUGGAAAGUCCUCAGCACAGUGCCUGGCACAUACUAAGUCUUCUAAAGUGUGCAGGCUCUUCUUGGCCUUCAUCCUGACAUCCUCAGCACCAAUCACAAUGCCUGGUAUGCAGUAGUGGAGCUUUAUAAUUUUUAAAUUAGACAGGGGGAGACCUGUUUACUACUUCGUUAUGCUUAAUUGCUAUGCAGCCCACAAAUAAUUGUGACUGUCAUUAAACAGGGAAGAUCAACUUCACUCUUCUAUUAAAUUCUUACUCUAAACAUGAAAGCUCAGUCUGCAUUAUCUGUUGAGCAAGCAGAAUAACCGUCUACUUAAAAGUGGGGAACAGGCUGGGUGUGGUGGCUUAUGCCUGUAGUCCCAGCACUUUGGGAGGCCCAGGCAGGUGAAUCACCUGAGGUCAGGAGUUCGAGACCAGCCUGGCCAACAUGGCGAAACCCCACCUCUACUAACAAUAAAAAAUUAGCUGGGCGUGGUGGUGUGCACCUGUAAUCUCAGGUACUCGGGAGGCUGAGACAGGAGAAUUGCUUGAACCCGGGAGGCGGAGGUUGCAGUGAGCCGAGAUCGCGCCACUGCAC
RNAcentral lists this long non-coding RNA (2470 nucleotides) under Homo sapiens (human). Its description in RNAcentral is "HSALNT0311028". Lineage: Eukaryota; Metazoa; Chordata; Mammalia; Primates; Hominidae. The record is from RNAcentral.